CAGUAGCCACGGUAAUACGAAGGGUGCAAGCGUUAAUCGGAAUUACUGGGCGUAAAGCGUGCGUAGGCGGUUUGUUAAGUCUGUUGUGAAAGCCCUGGGCUCAACCUGGGAAUUGCGAUGGAUACUGGGCGACUAGAGUGCGGUAGAGGAUAGUGGAAUUUCCGGUGUAGCAGUGAAAUGCGUAGAGAUCAAGAGGAACACUCGUGGCGAAAGCGAGCUACUGGACAAUAACUGACGCUGAGGCUCGAAGGCCAGGGUAGCGAAAGGGAUUAGAUACCCCAGUAGUCCCUGUCUCUUAUAC
This 301-nucleotide ribosomal RNA is filed under the name uncultured bacterium. Its description in RNAcentral is "partial 16S ribosomal RNA". It matches the Rfam family "Bacterial small subunit ribosomal RNA", at positions 509 to 807 of the family's 1533-position model. The record is from RNAcentral.